UUUAGAUAGGGUGGGCUAAAAGUCUAAAAUCUAUCUAACCCACUUAAACAGGAUGGGCUGAAACGUCCAACCCACUUCAUCUUAGUAGCAACCCACAUACCUUCGCAUCGGUGGGCAAGCCGCAGGUGUGGUGGUCGAUGACGCGAGCUGCGUCUGUCUCCCCGCCAUUGUCAUACUCGUGCUCAACCUCUCCUCCACCUAGCGC
Molecule: long non-coding RNA, 205 nt
Filed under: Sorghum bicolor (sorghum)
Lineage: Eukaryota; Viridiplantae; Streptophyta; Magnoliopsida; Poales; Poaceae
Description: long non-coding RNA (SBIC_LNC001628)
Source: RNAcentral